UGGUGGAGUGAUUUGUCUGGUUAAUUCCGUUAACGAACGAGACCUCGACCUGCUAAAUAGUUCGGCAAACACUUCGGUGUUUGUAUUCCGUGACUUCUUAGAGGGACUAUCGGUGUGUAGCCGAUGGAAGUUCGAGGCAAUAACA
Molecule: ribosomal RNA, 145 nt
Filed under: uncultured eukaryote
Lineage: Eukaryota
Description: partial 18S ribosomal RNA
Rfam family: Eukaryotic small subunit ribosomal RNA
Source: RNAcentral